Molecule: transfer RNA, 73 nt
Filed under: Ophiophagus hannah (king cobra)
Lineage: Eukaryota; Metazoa; Chordata; Lepidosauria; Squamata; Elapidae
Rfam family: tRNA
About the family: Transfer RNA (tRNA) molecules are approximately 80 nucleotides in length.
Source: Rfam by way of RNAcentral
GCCAGUUUGGUUCAGUGGGUAAAGCACCAGGUUGGAAACCAGGAGUCUGUGAGUUCUAGUCCCACCUUAGGCA